UGGCUCAGGAUGAACGCUGGCGGCGUGCCUAAUACAUGCAAGUCGAGCGAACUGAUUAGAAGCUUGCUUCUAUGACGUUAGCGGCGGACGGGUGAGUAACACGUGGGCAACCUGCCUGUAAGACUGGGAUAACUUCGGGAAACCGAAGCUAAUACCGGAUAGGAUCUUCUCCUUCAUGGGAGAUGAUUGAAAGAUGGUUUCGGCUAUCACUUACAGAUGGGCCCGCGGUGCAUUAGCUAGUUGGUGAGGUAACGGCUCACCAAGGCAACGAUGCAUAGCCGACCUGAGAGGGUGAUCGGCCACACUGGGACUGAGACACGGCCCAGACUCCUACGGGAGGCAGCAGUAGGGAAUCUUCCGCAAUGGACGAAAGUCUGACGGAGCAACGCCGCGUGAGUGAUGAAGGCUUUCGGGUCGUAAAACUCUGUUGUUAGGGAAGAACAAGUACAAGAGUAACUGCUUGUACCUUGACGGUACCUAACCAGAAAGCCACGGCUAACUACGUGCCAGCAGCCGCGGUAAUACGUAGGUGGCAAGCGUUAUCCGGAAUUAUUGGGCGUAAAGCGCGCGCAGGCGGUUUCUUAAGUCUGAUGUGAAAGCCCACGGCUCAACCGUGGAGGGUCAUUGGAAACUGGGGAACUUGAGUGCAGAAGAGAAAAGCGGAAUUCCACGUGUAGCGGUGAAAUGCGUAGAGAUGUGGAGGAACACCAGUGGCGAAGGCGGCUUUUUGGUCUGUAACUGACGC
Molecule: ribosomal RNA, 745 nt
Filed under: Priestia megaterium
Lineage: Bacteria; Bacillati; Bacillota; Bacilli; Caryophanales; Bacillaceae
Description: bacterial SSU rRNA
Rfam family: Bacterial small subunit ribosomal RNA
Source: RNAcentral